RNAcentral lists this ribosomal RNA (483 nucleotides) under uncultured bacterium. RNAcentral's name for it is "partial 16S ribosomal RNA". It matches the Rfam family "Bacterial small subunit ribosomal RNA", at positions 30 to 506 of the family's 1533-position model. The record is from RNAcentral.
AUUGAACGCUGGCGGCAGGCCUAACACAUGCAAGUCGAGCGGAUGAAGGGAGCUUGCUCCUGGAUUCAGCGGCGGACGGGUGCGUAAUGCCUAGGAAUCUGCCUGGUAGUGGGGGAUAACGUCCGGAAACGGGCGCUAAUACCGCAUACGUCCUGAGGGAGAAAGUGGGGGAUCUUCGGACCUCACGCUAUCAGAUGAGCCUAGGUCGGAUUAGCUAGUUGGUGGGGUAAAGGCCUACCAAGGCGACGAUCCGUAACUGGUCUGAGAGGAUGAUCAGUCACACUGGACCUGAUACACGGUCCAGACUCCGACGGGAGGCAGCAGUGGCGAAUAUUGGACAGUGGGCGAAAGCCUGCUCCAGCCAUGCCGCGGGUGUGAAGAAGGUCUUCGGCUUGUAAAGCUCUUUAAGUUGGGAGGAAGGGCAGUAAGUUAAUACCUUGCUGUUUUGACGUUACCAACAGAAUAAGCACCGGCUACCUUCGU